GACGAACGCUGGCGGCGUGCUUAACACAUGCAAGUCGAACGGAAAGGCCCUGCUUUUGUGGGGUGCUCGAGUGGCGAACGGGUGAGUGACACGUGAGUAAACUGCCCUUGACUUUGGGAUAAAUUCUGGAAACUCGGGCUAAUAUCGGAUAGGAGCUCCUGCUGCAUGUUGUGGAAUGGAAAGUUUCGGCGGUUGUGGAUGGAAUCGCGGCUUAUCAGCUUGUUGGUGGGGUAGUGGCUUACCAAGGCUUUGAAGGGUAGCCGGCCUGGGAGGGUGACCGGCGACAUGGGGACUGAGAGACGGCGCAGACGCCUACGGGAGGCAGCAGGGGGGAAUAUUGCACAAUGGGGGGAAGCCUGAGGCAGCAACGCCGCGUGCGGGAUGACGGCCUUCGGGUUGUAAACCGCUUUCGCCUGUGACGAAGCGGGAUUGACGGUAAUGGGUAAAGAAGCACCGGCUAACUACGUG
RNAcentral lists this ribosomal RNA (468 nucleotides) under uncultured bacterium. RNAcentral describes it as "partial 16S ribosomal RNA". It matches the Rfam family "Bacterial small subunit ribosomal RNA", at positions 28 to 507 of the family's 1533-position model. The record is from RNAcentral.